Molecule: non-coding RNA, 216 nt
Organism: Pelobates cultripes (western spadefoot toad)
Lineage: Eukaryota; Metazoa; Chordata; Amphibia; Anura; Pelobatidae
Source: the annotation of a GenBank genome assembly
AGUCAGAAAAAUAAGUUAGUUUUAGCAUGCAGAUUUCCACAGAUAGUAGGUUUUGAGGCAUCAUAUCACUCUGUAAUGCAAUGGGCCUGGGAAAAUAGCCGGAAUGGAAGCUGAUAGGAGACCCGUCGCCAAGUCCCGAAGAUAGAUGUGAGGGGAGCAUAGUAGUUUCUCAAUGUCCUUCUUGACAGUUUUUAUUUUUGAGGACGGGAGCUGGAG